GACGAACGCUGGCGGCGUGCUUAACACAUGCAAGUCGAACGGAAAGGCCCUGCUUUUGUGGGGUGCUCGAGUGGCGAACGGGUGAGUAACAAGUGAGUAACCUGCCCUUGCCUUUGGGAUAACUUCAGGAAACUGGGGCUAAUACCGGAUAGGCGCUCCUGCUGCAUGGUGGGGGUUGGAAAGUUUCGGCGGUUGGGGAUGGACUCGCGGCUUAUCAGCUUGUUGGUGGGGUAGUGGCUUACCAAGGCUUUGACGGGUAGCCGGCCUGAGAGGGUGACCGGCCACAUUGGGACUGAGAUACGGCCCAGACUCCUACGGGAGGCAGCAGUGGGGAAUAUUGCACAAUGGGCGGAAGCCGGAUGCAGCAACGCCGCGUGCGGGAUGACGGCCUUCGGGUUGUAAACCGCUUUCGCCUGUGACGAAGCGUGAGUGACGGUAAUGGGUAAAGAAGCACCGGCUAACUACGUG
This 468-nucleotide ribosomal RNA is filed under the name uncultured bacterium. RNAcentral describes it as "partial 16S ribosomal RNA". It matches the Rfam family "Bacterial small subunit ribosomal RNA", at positions 28 to 507 of the family's 1533-position model. The record is from RNAcentral.